GGCCCGUUAGUCUAGCGGUUAGGACAUCGGCCUCUCACGCCGAGAGCAUGGGUUCAAGUCCCGUACGGGUCACCA
This 75-nucleotide transfer RNA is filed under the name Anaeromyxobacter sp. Fw109-5. RNAcentral's name for it is "tRNA-Glu (CTC) (tRNA-Glu-CTC-1-1)". It matches the Rfam family "tRNA". Rfam says of the family: Transfer RNA (tRNA) molecules are approximately 80 nucleotides in length. Their secondary structure includes four short double-helical elements and three loops (D, anti-codon, and T loops). The record is from RNAcentral. Lineage: Bacteria; Pseudomonadati; Myxococcota; Myxococcia; Myxococcales; Anaeromyxobacteraceae. RNAcentral also lists the same sequence under 3 other names.